Molecule: long non-coding RNA, 1730 nt
Organism: Brassica oleracea var. oleracea
Lineage: Eukaryota; Viridiplantae; Streptophyta; Magnoliopsida; Brassicales; Brassicaceae
Exons: 7
Source: RefSeq, a predicted model, not a curated record
GCCAACCUUUGUAAUAGAUGUUAGUACCGACUUCAAUUUCAUAUGAAGAUGGUGAGGUCGGUUACAUGAUAACAGACCUCAAUUUCAGUUCAAAACACCUCCUCCGAUGAAUCUCCUGUAACGCCUUCUCACUCCAUUGAUUUCCCCUUAAAUCCGUUCAUUUACUAGCUUCAUCCCACUCCUCCCACUCUAUAUCAUGUAACCGACCUCACCAUCUUCAUAUGUAAUCGGCCGCCAUUACCAGAAAAGCUAUCAAAGAGAUAAUAAUCUUCAGAAAAGUACACCUAGCUUCUCGGCCCAAUGACGAGCUCCAACAACAAGAAGAAUACACAAGCGAAUGAUUUUGAAGAUAUCAGUGAGAUUAUUAAAGCACUUAACAUCUCGACGGAUGACUUUGCUAUUAGGACGACCAGAUUCUGGAAAAUCAACUUUGCUUCUGGCUCUCGCAGAUAAAAGUUUAAAGGUUAGUUAACCCAUGAAGUUAUUUAAUAUGCUCUGAUAUUCACAUGAAUCGUAUGUUUGAUAUCUGUUUUUAAUUUAAUGGUCACAUGUGUAUUAAAGGUUUUAUAUUGCAGAUAAAAUUAGCCUUUUGAUUUUUACAUAAAACGUUUGUGAGAAGUGAGAAUCUUCUAUAUAAAGUUUAGUUGCAGAUUAUAGGAUCUUAGUUACUCCAAAAAGCCACACAGAGGAUCUUAGCAAACCUUAGUUCUCUGCAGUACUGAACACUUUUUCCGACUCCCUGAUGCCCCCCCUCUUGCCAUACGCUUCAAUAAUGCCACUUCUUUUGAAAAGUUGACGGAAUCCGCAAAGCCGAAACCAACUGAACUUUUCCGGGUUUCGUCCGUCCGACCAACUACGUGCUUAGGCGAACACCAACAGACAGCUACCUGACAUACUUGGUGAGGUAAGUGCAGUCAGGAGCACAAUCAACGACCGUUCACAGGGGGCUCAACAUGUAAUGCGCUUACUAUACGUCAAGAGAGGGAUGUAACCCUCUGUGUCAGUAUAUUUGACUCCUUAGCUGUUUCCUUUGAUAAAUAAUUUUAAAGCUACAGAAGUGAGCCAAAAAUUGUCCUUGCCACCAGCAUCAAUCCAAAGAUAGUUGGAGGUUGUAAACUUUACUAUGUGUAGUUUAUUCAUUUUAAUAUAGCUUUGGAGUAAUGCAUUGCAUAGAAUUUGUUUUUGACCGGAUAUAACUUCACAUAAACUUGAUGUAUUCUUUGUAGGCAGGCUAUUUCUGAGCUCAACAUGUGGAACACAUAUUUACUUUGACAGUGAGACAGCUCUAGGAAAUGAGAAGUUUGACAAACUGAGCUGAUGGCACAGAGCAGAUGGCAGCGUCGUCAAAGGUAGCUCAUGUCCAGAAAAUUGAGCCACUCACCAUCUCUGAGCUUAAUGAAUAUGUGAUCGCUGCCCAGCCUCAGAUAAUUGAGUUUCUCUGCAUUCCAGCUCAAGCUAACCGAGUCUAAAGGGCCUUAAAGCGUUCGCAGAAGCAAUAGAUGUUGUUAGAGACAAAGGUGUUGCUAUGGCUGUGGCUGUGGCGUCCGCAGAAGACAUUGAUGCGGCGAACGGUGCACGUCCAAACUUUUUCAGAGGUUAAGAAAACUAUCUAAGCUGAUAACUUUUACUUUAAUAAGAUUGAGAAUCUCUAUUAGAUUUGUUUCUCUGCUGCGAGGGAGUUUAUUGGCAAAGCUAAUAUAUUAAACAUGCGUAAAGAACUUUGUAGAAUA